Long non-coding RNA from Erigeron canadensis, 567 nucleotides. RefSeq lists it as uncharacterized. The record is from RefSeq and is a predicted model, not a curated record. The transcript is spliced from 2 exons. Lineage: Eukaryota; Viridiplantae; Streptophyta; Magnoliopsida; Asterales; Asteraceae.
UUAGCUGGACCAAUACUCCGUAUGAGAUAGUAUAUUGAAUAAAAUGAAAAUGAUAAUAUACCCAAUCGAUCUCCACACUCAAAUGAAAAUGAUAAUAUGAUGAUAGUAUUAAAACCUAAAAUCAGCACACUCCUAUCGAUCUCCACCCACCACCGUAUCUCAACACCACCGCAUCUCACAGUUCACAUCUCAGCACCACCGCAUCUCCUCACCAACAACAAAAGUUACAAUCGGUACAAAUUUUGACCCAAACUUUGGAGGAGAUGCAACCAAGGCAUGAGACUCAACAAAAGGAGAUUGACGAUAUGAAAAAGCGUGAAGAAAAGCAAAAAAAGGAACUCGAAGAACUAAAAGCAAAAAGUGAAGCCGAAUCACAAGAAGUGAAAGCCGUGAAGGCCGCCAUGAUGAAGUUCACCCGACGGGCUAAAUCUUAGGAUUUGUUAAAAAGUUGUUAGUUUGAAUUAUUUUCAAAACUUUACCUUUUAAAUGAUGUGUAUGAAUGUUUUGUUGAUGGAUGUAUCUUGAUUCUUAGGUAAUGAAUUAUCAUGCAUUUUAGUAGUUUGAUUA